UUUAUGGCUGCAUAGUAUUCCAUGGUGUAUAUGUGCCACAUUUUCUUUAUCCAGUCUAUCACUGGUGGGCAUUCGGGUUGGUUACAAGUCUUUACUAUUUUGAAUAGUGCUGCAAUAAACAUACAUGCGCAUCUGUCUUUAUGGUAGAAUGAUUUAUAAUUCCUUGGGUAUAUACCCAGUAAUCCCAUGUCUAUUUUUUUUUUAAAAAAAGGAAUUUUAGGAAACAAAAAGAAAUGAGUACUAAUGCUACAUGCUACAACUAGGAGAAUUAGAAAAUAUUAUGCUAAGUGAAAAAAGCCAGACACAAGAGACUAUACAUUGUGCCAGUCUAUUCAUAUGAAAUUCCAGAAUAGGCAAAUCCAUAGGGAUAGAAAGCAGAUUUGCAGUUGCCAGGGCUAAGGUGGGGACACAAGAAUAGGCGGGUGAUAACUAAAGGGUAUACCGUUUCUUUUUCAGGUGAUAAAAAUAUGCUACAAUUAACUGUGGUGAUGUUGCACAACUCUGUAAAUACACUAAAAAUCACUGACUUGUACACUUUCAAUUGAUGAGAAAACUGAGAUAUACAGAGAUCAAGAAUCAUCCAAGGUCACACAAUACGAGGUGGGGUCAGAAUGCAAACCCAGGCAGUGUGCCUACCUAGCCCAGACUCUUAACCACUAAGAUGUCACUAAAGAAGCAUCAACAUCAACAGGAAACACUUUAACACUACCUAAUGUCCAACAACAAGGAUUGAUUAAACACAUUCCAGAAUAUUCACUUGACAGAAUUAAUGGAUGGAUGGGAUGGAUGGAUGGACUGACAAAUGGAUGGAUGGAUGAAUAAAACAGUGGGUGGGUUAGGGGAUGAACGAGUGGAUAUAUAAAUGGUUGAGUGGGUAGAAGGGUGGAGGAUGGAUGGAGGAUGGAUGCAUGGAUGGAUGGAUGGAUGGAUGGAUGGAUGGAUGAAUAGAUGGAUACACUAACGAAUGAAUAGAUGGAUGAAUGAAAGAGUAGGUGGGUUGGGAUGAAUGAGUGGAUAUAUAAAUGGGUGAGUGGGUAGAUAGGUGGAGGAUGGAUGGAGAAUGAAUGGAUGAAUGGAUGGAUGGAUGGAUGGAGGAUAGAUAGGUGGAUGGGUAGAAAGGGUGGAUGAAUGGGUAGGUGAGUGCAUGGAUGAAGAGAUGUAUGGAUGGGUGACAGGGUAGGUGGGUGAGUGAGUGGGUGGAUGGAUAGAUGGAUUGAUGGAUAGAUGGGCAGAUGGAUGGACUGACAAAUAGACAGAUGUAAAAUGAAAGACUGGGUGGUUGAGUGGAUAAAUGAGUGGAUAUAUGAAUGGGUGAGUGGGUAGAUGGGUGAAGGAUGGAAAAAGAAUGGAUGGAUGGAUGGAUGGAUGGAUGAAUAAAUGAAGGACAGAUAGGUGGAUGGGUAGAUGAAUGGGUGGAUGAAUCGAUAGGUGAGUACAAAGAUGAAUAAAUGUAUGGAUGGGUAAGAGGGUGGGUGGGUGGGUAGGUGGGUGGAUGGCUGUAUGGAGGGAUGGACCGACGGACGGACUCAUUGAUGGUCUAAAUCACAAAACCUUCCUUUGGUAGCAUGUCGUCAUUUUUGUUUCCACUUACAUGUAUUGAACAUCAACUUCAUGGUAGGCAAACCUCCAGGUUCCAUGUUAAGCCCUCAAUAAAACAGGAAACAAUUACACAGCAAAACCCAAUACUUCUGCUCCCAGAAGUAAAACCUUAAAUGGUAAGCGCAGACAUUGUGAGGGAGCCCUCAAACCAGAAAGUGUUAUCUUCUUAAGUUCUUAAAAUCUCUUCGUUUUAUAAAAUAGAGAGAAUUCAAAAGAAGUCACAAAGUGUGAAAGUCUUUAUUUGCAGUCUAAAUCUCAAGGAACCACAGACAAAAAGCCCCACAGCUGUCUGCAGUGAUUCAUCAGCUCUAACAGAAGUAGCAGCACUUCAACCUGGAACUGGGGUGUAUGAAUGGGUCAGGAGAGAUGUUUCUUAAAACUUGUGUAGCCACAGGUCUCACCUACAUCCCAGUGAAGCGGGAUUGGCAUUAGCCCCCAGAAACCCCAGACAUUGUGAGCUCUAUCUUAAUUUGUUGUCAUCUUAAUGCAAGUAAGAUUAUUUUCUCUGUUUUUUGUUUGUUUGUUUGUUUGUUUUUUGGGGGUUUUUUUGCCCCUUUCAUCUCAGUCCAUCAAGAUUUUCUAUAAUAUAUAUCAGUUCAAAUUGUUUUAGUAUUUUUUUUAAUUUAACCCCUUCAAAAUCAAUUAAGGAUGAAGAUAAGUAAGAACUGAAAGCAACAUCCUGGUCUCCCCAGAAGAAAUGGUGCUGAUAAAGUGCCUGAACACAGGCUUGGCACCCAGUAAGUGGUAAAGAGAUCACUUAGUGGUUGCGGUGGUGGUGGGACUGUACUAUUCCUCCUGCCUCUUCUGCUGCUUCUGCAAAGGGAAAAGGGAACCUCCCUACUGGAGUGAGUCAUAUAGACACCUGAUACUCAUUCAUUCAUUUAUUCACCCAUUUAAUAUGUUCAAAACCCCCAGGAAUUAGGUAUCAUUAUUCCUGUUUGGAAAAUAAAGAAACUGAAGCACAGAGAAGUUAGAGCAACUCAUCAAAGCUACACAGAAGCAGCAAAAGACUGAGAUCAGAUCAGUGUGAUUCUAAGUCCAGAGACGCAGAAAAGGCAGGAGCCCUGGGGAACACACGCUGGGUCUGGUUAGCACAUGUGUACUGCUGACAUCCUGCUCCCUAGGCCUGCUCCUCUUUGCCUUUAUUUUCACCUCCCCAUUCCCUAAGCAACUCUAUUAACCAUAGCACAGCUCUGGAAAGCAGAGAUUUCUUUCCCCUUCACACAUUGCAUCCUUUAACACCAGCUUUACACUGACACCAUGAAGAUAUCCUUUCUGCAGGAAGCCCUGUUCAGACCUCCUGACCUGAGAAAGCAACAAGGUGAUGACCAAAAGAAGGAAAAAAAGAAAUUAGCAUGUAGGAGCACCCUAUAGAAGGUACUUUAUUUCCAUCAUUUUAUUUAAUCCUCCCAACAACCUUACAAGAAAAUGUCAUUGUCUUCAAAAUACAGGUGAAGAAACUGAGGCUCUAGGAGGUUAAGCAACUUGCCCAUGUGAUAGGUAAUAUUCCAGCUCUGUAAGACCUACAGUCAAAGGCCAUAUAGGGGUCUCCACCAAACUAAGGUUUUAGUGGCAUGGGUCAACACAGCAAAGGAAUUUUCUGGUCAAGCUCUCUUCCAGUUGACAGAGGAACAGAACGGUAAUGUUAUCUCUGUGACAGCUGGCAGCAUGUCCCCCAGGAGAAGGAAGUGGACAGUCCUGGAUCCCCACCCACAGUCCUCCUGCAGUGAGCUCUGCAAGCCUAGCAGUAGGAACCAGUGCCACUGAGCCACCUGUCUCCCCUAGGCCUGGGAUGCCUCUGUAAACAGAAACCUAAGGGUCUCUCUGAUGCCACAAAUGUGAAAAACCCCUGACCUACAGGGUGAGUGACAGAUACAGGAUGACGAAACCAUGGUGCUAGAGGCCCUCCAUCGAGGAAGUGCAUUCACAACACUUUAAUCUGCAAAACCACUCCCCCACGCUGGGGGCAGGUGCUGCUAGCACCCUGCAAGUUCAACAAACCAAUCAAGGUGAGAGGUUCAAGCAAACUGCCCGAGGGUCCCCCAGCUAGAAUGCAGGGGCCUGAGGGUUUUUAACUGAGACCUUCUAACUCCAAAUCCCAUGUGCUGUCCAUGACACCAGCCAACCUCUUCUGUGUCACCUGAGCAACUGGAAAAGCCGAUCACCAUUCCCUAUGACAGCCAGUGACCAUGCAAACAGGAGCCAAAAGAAACACAUAAAUACUCAAAUACCCACAGCAACAAGCAGUCCAGUAGACUGGAAUCAAGAGUGCCCGCAGUACAUAAUCCCAGCCUGACACUUACUAGCUGUGUGGCCUUGAGAAAGCCACCAGACCUUUCUGUGCCUUCAAUUCCUCAUCCCUAAAAAGAAUAUAAAAACAGUACCCCCUUCAUGGAGUUGGUGUGAGGAUUAAAACACUUCAAAUGAUGGCUGUGUACUGUAGGAACACAGUGAGUAAACGUCAGCUGUUAUAAUUAUUGUUGUUAUUACUACUACCACAAAGAGAUGACAGUGCGCAAGUUAUCAACCUGGAGCAAGAGGUGAUUUCUGCCCUAGAUUUAGCUUUUGGUAGCAAAAUACCACAAUGAUAGCAUUGCUCUGUGAUGCCUCUGGAGAAAUUUGGAGUCAAUUCAAUCCUCCCUAUGACCAGGACAGCUUGGAAGGGUUUCUCCAGCGACCUUCCACUUAUGUUGUCCCUCUUGACCCAGAAGACAGGGAAGGGCAGGGGGUACCAGUGACACCACUGGUUCACCCACAAGAAGUAACACGUGGCCGCGACCCAACUACACAGCCCUGUGACUGUCAGGAUACCCCCUCCUGCUAUCAAUCAGCAAGGCUGCUGCAGGCAGAAGGUAAAGCUCGCACUUGUCUCUGUAUUAUCCACACACAGGUCCUUGGAAUGUAAAGAGUGGAUGGAAAGGAAGCAAACCUCAGAAGACUAGCUCUGUUCCCGAGACCUUCCUUCUCCCCUGGGCUCCAACAGGUACCUGCACAAAAUGCUGGGCUGUACCUGCGUGAAAAUAAGGGCAAUUACUCCCCAUUCCCAUGACAAUCCGCAAAUGAUGGGGGACUAAAAUCCAACUCUGUCUGAGCAAAA
Molecule: long non-coding RNA, 4696 nt
Filed under: Homo sapiens (human)
Lineage: Eukaryota; Metazoa; Chordata; Mammalia; Primates; Hominidae
Description: HSALNT0234159
Source: RNAcentral